UAUAUAUAUAUAUAUAUAUAGGCCGGUAUACUAUCGGUAGCACAGAGGUCUCCGUGCUACCAAGUUGUUUUCAAUGAUUCGGCUUCCAAAUCGACGAUCGGGUCCGUUAGACUUCAUCUACACUAUUAAAAGUAUUUGAAAACUAAAUUUCAUAAUUUUUCGACACCAUUUGGCCAAUGAUCAAAAGGUCUCAAAAUUGACUAUUUUAAAUAAAAUAAUUUUUUAGGCUUAUAUAUAUAUAUAUAGGCCGGUAUACUAUCGGUAGCACAAAGGUCUCCGUGGUACCAAGUUGUUUUCAAUGAUGUGGCUUCCAAAUCGACGAUCGGCUCCGUUAGACUUCAUUUACACUAUUAAAAGUAUUUGGAAACUAAAUUUCAUAAUUUUUCGACACUAUUUGGCCAGUGAUCAAAAGAUCUCAAAAUUGACUAUUUUGAUGGUAGAUGUGAUGCGUUUGUGAAUUUAACGGUGUAAAAUAAUUCAUAUCUGAUGAAAUUUUUAUAAAAAAUUCUUUUUACUAUUUAGAAUAAGAUUAGUACAUCUGAUCUUAAAUUUAAGUUUUUUAUCAUCAUUUCUUAUGAGAUUUUUAUUUUCAGCCGUUCAUUUUUAGACUACUCGUUUGAUAGGUAAAUGAUAUCGAAAAAUUAUGAAAUUUAGUUUCCAAAUAUUUUUAAUAGUAUAGAUCAAGUCUAAAGAAGCCGAUCGUCGAUUUGAAAACUGUAUCAUUGAAAAUAACUUAAUAGCACGGAGGCCUCCGUCCUACCGAUAGUAUACUAGCGUAGCUCAUAUAUAUAUAUAUAUAUAUAUAUAUAUAGUCCGGCUGCUUUGUUAUCGAUAGUACCAAGCACUUAGUGCUAUCAAGUUUUUUGCCGUUAGAUUAACCCCUUUGAUUAUUUUUACCCGUUUAAUUAUGCUAUUCAACUAACCACCCACUAAACCUUAUGGUGCCAACAUCAUCCUAACCGCACAUUUCUUAAUCCAAAGGCUAAAAAACUAAUAGCACCAAUAGUUUGGUGCUAUUGAUAGUAUUCCAAUAUAUAUAUAUAUAUA
Molecule: long non-coding RNA, 1047 nt
Filed under: Ananas comosus (pineapple)
Lineage: Eukaryota; Viridiplantae; Streptophyta; Magnoliopsida; Poales; Bromeliaceae
Description: long non-coding RNA (ACOM_LNC000305)
Source: RNAcentral